AGCCAUGCAGUAAGCACAAAGCGAACUAUUCUUUCGCCUUUUACUAAAGAAUACCGUGUGCUUGCUGUUUACAGUGGCAUACAAUGAUUUUUGGAAGGGCCGUAUUCUUAUUAGAGUU
Molecule: non-coding RNA, 118 nt
Organism: Ricinus communis (castor bean)
Lineage: Eukaryota; Viridiplantae; Streptophyta; Magnoliopsida; Malpighiales; Euphorbiaceae
Source: Rfam